Long non-coding RNA from Rattus norvegicus (Norway rat), 3457 nucleotides. RefSeq lists it as uncharacterized. NCBI's taxonomy places the organism in Eukaryota, Metazoa, Chordata, Mammalia, Rodentia, Muridae. The record is from RefSeq and is a predicted model, not a curated record.
CUUCUAAACAGGAGUGACCAUUCCUUCUUUUUAGCCUGGUGGAUUAGCUGGGCACUUCUCUCUGGUAAGUUCAUCACACAGUUCAUUGAGUUCAUCACCUGUGUUCUUUUAGUUCCAUUUAGUCAUUUGUGAUUUCUCUGGAAAAACAUUUAUCUUUCUGUAUAGAUUCCUAGUGAAGAUUUCAUUAACAGUAGUAGAUUCAAGAAGGAAUGAAACUUCCAUAAGAUAUCACAAAUGGGACAACGCAAUACACACACAAACACACACACAUACAUGCACACAUACACACAUAUACGUUUUAUAGUUAUAAAAAUAAGGUCAUCCAACCCUGUGAUCAAUAACUUGUCAUUUCCUUCUGUUUUAUGGAUAUAUCUCCUUGCCAAGAAUAUUUUUCCUUCCUUCCUUCCUUCCUUCCUUCCUUCCUUCCUUCCUUCCUUUCUUCCUAUCUUCCUCCCUUUCCCCCUUUCUCUUUCUCUCUCCUUUCUUCCUUCCUUCCUUCCUUUCUUUCUCCCUCCCUCCCUUUCUCUUUCUUUCUUUCUUUUUCUUUCUUCCUCCCUCCCUCUCUUUCUUUCUCCUCCCUCCCUCCCUCCUUCCCUCCCUCCUUCCCUUCCUUCCUUUCUUCUUCCUUCUUUUCUCUCCCUUUUUCUUUCUUUCUUUCUUUCUUUCUUUCUUUCUUUCUUUCUUUCUUUCUUUCUUCCAUAGUUUCUGUGGUGUUUAGGCUGAUCUAGAACCCACUACUUAACCAAAACUGGUCUGGAACUCUCAGGCUUCUCUUGGUUUAGACUCCUGAGUGACAGGCAUGUGCCAUCACACCUAACUUCAUCACCCUUUUUAAGGGCAUCACCCUGUACUGGUGGAUUUAUGUCCAGCUACUUCUGAGCCUUCAGGUACUGGACUUUAUGUAAUAAUCAUGACUCAAUCAGGAGACAUCCUACUGCUAGAGAGGUGUGUUCAAUAGACUUGGACAAAUAGCAAAACUGUGGCAACCUCAGAUGUGCACAUUCAGCCCCAGAAAGGUCUAACACGCACAGUAUGAGACAGAAAAGAAAAGUUGCAAACAAUGUUAUCAGGGGACCAGGAAGGGUGGGGGGAGGGAAGACAUUUCACAGCUGACUGUGAUGUCUCAAUGAGUAGCAAAGAUUCCAUAGUAGGAUUCUGCAAGUAGACAGGAAGAGAAAGGGGGCGGAGCACAUAGGAAGAGCAGAAUUGACCACGAAGAAAUGUAAAGAAGAAACAGCAGACACCAAACAGCCAGCUAUGCUUUUCACACUAUAGCAGACACUGUUGGUCUGAAGUGCGUGGAUUCUGACGAACACUAGGUUUUCAUAACUGGAAGGCAGUGGUCAGCAGCUGUGGAGACAAUGUAGAAUCUCCAGAUCCAUCCUUGUCCAGGUCCCCUCUGCUGUUCAGAUGCCACAUUGGCUCCUCAAACAUUGAGGACAGGUCAUCAAGUGUGAACGGCAGCUUGAACCUGUGCAGGGCAUCCUACCCUGAAAAGAAGGCAGUGGCUGGCAGUUACUCAUUUACAGUGCAAACAGAGACAUUUCAGAGAACAGCUAUCCCUUUCAACCUGGUAUAUAAAGGUCUGCCUCCUGCCCCCAGGCAGUUCAGUGGUGGAGGAAUAUUACUCUUGGCCUGGAUUUCUUCUGCAAGUGCUAGCUCUUUGCCAGGCUUUCUUCAUCCUGGAUGUGAGGCCCUGCCACUAAUUCAACAAUUCUUUUCUUGACCAAGGAGCUACAGGUUGUCCAUAAUGUAUGCACAAAAACAUCUUGCUGGAGCCAAGAACUCAGUUCUUCCCUUGCCUGGGAGCCCUCAAGAUAUGAGAGUGAAAGGCUUUGGCAACAAUAAUACAAAGAGGUAUUGAAUUUUUGUGAGCAACAGGAGGACCUCAGCUUCGAAAGCUAAUGCAAUAUUGAUCUGCGCCAGGAGGACAAGGCACUCUCAUGCGCAACAUUGAGUGCUUGGAAAUCAAUCAGUGCUAUGUUUGGGAAAAUCUCAUUAUCUAAUGAGAGGAAGAAUUUCUGUAAGAUCAUUAUAACCUUCUUCAUAAGGUAAAAAAAGAAAGAAUAGAUCAAACUAAUGUUAACUUGCUCAUUCAUUAAGUGACAGUAUAAAGCCGCUCUAACAUUAAAUUUUUCUCUGCUGUUUAGUGAAAAAGUGAUUGGAAUUUAAAUGUCCUUUUCAGAAAUAUAAGCAGUCACCUUCAUAUUUUACCUAAUCUUCACUUAGAAUGUACUCAGCUUAAGAAUACCAAGCUACUAUUUUAAAGAUAGUUGUACAUCUUCAACUGCUGGCCAUUGAGCUCUUUGAUUUUUCCUUUCCAAUAUAUGCAGUGUAUUCUCGAGGGAAAUCUUAACAGGAAAUUGGGCUAAGCACAAUUUCAGCAACACAGCUGCAACAAGUUCUUUCAUACUUUUCUCAUUGUUUGGAAUUUUCAUGUCAAUUUUUGCAUUCACUUUCUAACUCUCCUGAAAGUUUCAUAAAUGUCCACGUGAAUAUUUCCCAAACUCCUUCAAACCCAUGCUCAAAAUUGUCUUGUUUUACUUGGUCUGGCUUGACCCCCACCCUCCACCUUCAGAAUUUCAACUACAUCCUCUCUUCCUGAUAUGUCAUCCCUUAAUUCUGCUCUUCUUUCCCUCUCUCAUUUCUAGAAUGAGUGAUUUGAUGUAAUGAUGUUUUAAUUAACAGAAAUAAAGUAGUCAGAAAAACUAUUUGUUGAUCUCCAAACUAUCAUAGAAAUCACAUAGAACUUUGGAUAAUCCAGACUCCACUGCCUGUGUACACAGUGAAGGAGUUGGGAGCCAUAGUUGGAAAAGCCUUUCUAAUCACAGAAAUUCCAUCCCUGACAUUCACAGUUUAUUUUCCCUUUUCAUUUUGGACUAUUUUAAGAAACGAUACAUGCCCUGUGACAUUUAUAAAAGAUUCCUCCUUUUUGAGGGGUUUUUCCAGCUGCUCUUAGAUGUUACCUUCAGGGAAUCCAUCCCAGAUCUCCAGCCGGUCAUAGCGACAGAACACUCCUCCGGGAGGAUUUGAGUCUUGCUCCAGGUCAAAACUUUCAAACUCUAGGAUUAUCUCAGACAUCUUUGGUGCAAAGAUGAUGUAGGUGCACUCCAAGCUGUUGGGGUAUUUUUCAGGGAACCCAGGGGACUUUAUCACUCCAGUAGGUGCUGUAUAGUUCUGAGAACAUUCGGGCCCUGUGAGCAAGAGAUAAAUGGGACACAAUGAAAAUUUCCCAAUUUCACAAGAAGUAUGGGGGGAGGCAGGGGUUUCUAAGGAAAGCCCACCAUCAUCUCUAGUCACUGCUUAGCCAUUCCUUAACCUUAACAGUGACCUAAAGUCAGGCUAAGGUUCACUGUGCUCAGCAUAGUGUCCUAUUUGUGUGGAGUAACUGAAAAGCAUCUGAUGUUGCAGGCAUGCACACACACACACACACACACACACACACACACACACACAC